This 736-nucleotide long non-coding RNA is filed under the name Phasianus colchicus (ring-necked pheasant). RNAcentral's name for it is "lncRNA (ENSPCLG00000018279.1)". The record is from RNAcentral. Lineage: Eukaryota; Metazoa; Chordata; Aves; Galliformes; Phasianidae.
CAAAAACCUAACUAAAAGCAUUACUAAGUAAUGUACACUUUACACUCACCUGUAGUUCUUGUACAGCUCUGCAGUUCAAGCUUCCUACUGAACUCACAGUUUUAUGAUUAUUUCAAGCCUUAAUAUAUUAAUAUGGGAGUUUGGCUAAGGCUGCCAUUAGACGAUACCUAACCUGUGAUGCCUGCUUUUAGAACAUGUGCUGCUGAUAGGAAGUAGGAGAGCUGCCUGUCAGAGGCCAGGCCAUGCAUGCUUCCACUCCACAAACAGUUCUGUACCUGCAGAGUCCAUUUCUGCAUCAUUGUUAUACCAAUAUAAGCUUCUUAUGCCAAGAGUUGAGCAUGGCAUAAUUUAAUUAGACAUCCACAGAUUUGUGUUUCCUGUAAGGUAAAUAGUGAACCAACCCUGAAAGGACUGCCAUUCUACUGAGUCACAUACAUUCUCACCUCCGCGGUGGACCAAAUCUUGUGCAGAAACUGUUGUAAGCAAACAGUAAGUAUCAAAGACAAGAUGGAAGAAUAUGGAGACAGGUGCAUUUGACAAGGAAAAAUUCCUUACUGUAGCUGCAGUUUUGGGUCUUUUUGAAGGAGUAGUGCUUAUGUGUGAGCACACCAAGCUGAGCCUUCUCCGGAACAACCAGCUCCAGCCAGCUCCUGGUUUCUCCAAGGACUGCUCCAUCCCAUUACAUAGCUCCCCGUUGCCUUUUCCAGCAAGCAACAAUAUUACAGGGAAUGGUUGA